This 80-nucleotide transfer RNA is filed under the name Thelephora ganbajun. RNAcentral's name for it is "tRNA-Val". Lineage: Eukaryota; Fungi; Basidiomycota; Agaricomycetes; Thelephorales; Thelephoraceae. The record is from RNAcentral.
GUUUCGGUGGUCUAGUGGUUAUGAUUUUCGCCUCACAGAGUCCUCGCGAAAGGUCCCCGGUUCGACCCCGGGCCGAAACA